This 89-nucleotide small nucleolar RNA is filed under the name Coprinopsis cinerea okayama7#130. RNAcentral's name for it is "Small nucleolar RNA snR56". It matches the Rfam family "Small nucleolar RNA snR56". The record is from Rfam by way of RNAcentral. Lineage: Eukaryota; Fungi; Basidiomycota; Agaricomycetes; Agaricales; Psathyrellaceae.
UUUCGUGAUGAUAAAACUUUCAGACCUGUUCUGAAGGCGGCUUCGGUCGAUCUUUUGAGGACAACCUAUAUUGCCUUUUUUAUCUGAUC